RNAcentral lists this small nuclear RNA (63 nucleotides) under Oryctolagus cuniculus (rabbit). RNAcentral's name for it is "U4 spliceosomal RNA". It matches the Rfam family "U4 spliceosomal RNA", at positions 1 to 63 of the family's 138-position model. From Rfam's summary of the family: U4 small nuclear RNA (U4 snRNA) is a component of the major U2-dependent spliceosome. The structure of U4 snRNA from yeast and human has been reported. U4 snRNA presents a k-turn RNA motif in the 5p-SL related to recognition of Snu13 protein. The record is from Rfam by way of RNAcentral. Lineage: Eukaryota; Metazoa; Chordata; Mammalia; Lagomorpha; Leporidae.
AGCUUUAUGCAGUGGAAGUAUUGUAGCCAAAGAGGUUUAUCCAAGGCACAAUUAUUGCUAAUG